CCGGCGUGCCUAUACUGCAAGUCGAGCGAGUCUCUUCGGAGGCUAGCGGCGGACGGGUGAGUAACACGUAGGCAACCUGCCUCUCAGACUGGGAUAACAUAGGGAAACUUAUGCUAAUACCGGAUAGGUUUUUGGAUCGCAUGAUCCAAAAAGAAAAGGCGGCUUUAAGCUGUCACUGGGAGAUGGGCCUGCGGCGCAUUACCUAGUUGGUGGGGUAAUGGCCUACCAAGGCGACAAUGCGUACCCGACCUGAAAGGGUGACCGGCCACACUGGGACUGAAACACGGCCCAAACUCCUACGGGAGGCAGCAGUAGGGAAUUUUCCACAAUGGACGAAAGUCUGAUGGAGCAACGCCGCGUGAACGAUGAAGGUCUUCGGAUUGUAAAGUUCUGUUGUUAGGGACAAACAAGUACCGUUCGAAUAGGGCGGUACCUUGACGGUACCUGACGAGAAAGCCACGGCUAACUACGUGCCACCAGCCGCGGUAAUACGUAGGUGGCAAGCGUUGUCCGGAUUUAUUGGGCGUAAAGCGCGCGCAGGCGGCUAUGUAAGUCUGGUGUUAAAGCCCGGAGCUCAACUCCGGUUCGCAUCGGAAACUGUGUAGCUUGAGUGCAAAAGAGGAAAGCGGUAUUCCACGUGUAGCGGUGAAAUGCGUAGAGAUGUGGAGGAACACCAGUGGCGAAGGCGGCUUUCUGGUCUGUAACUGACGCUGAGGCGCGAAAGCUGUGGUGGAGCAAACAGGAUUAGAUACCCUGCUAGUCCACGCCGUAAACGAUGAGUGCUAGGUGUUGGGGUUUCAUACCUCAAUUGCCGCAG
RNAcentral lists this ribosomal RNA (817 nucleotides) under unidentified. RNAcentral describes it as "bacterial SSU rRNA". It matches the Rfam family "Bacterial small subunit ribosomal RNA", at positions 39 to 851 of the family's 1533-position model. The record is from RNAcentral.